Molecule: ribosomal RNA, 453 nt
Filed under: uncultured bacterium
Lineage: Bacteria
Description: bacterial SSU rRNA
Rfam family: Bacterial small subunit ribosomal RNA
Source: RNAcentral
GGCUCAGAACGAACGCUGGCGGGCAGGCCUAAAACAUGCAAGUUGAACGGCCGUAGCAAUACAGCAGUAGCGCACGGGUGAGUAAUAUAUGGGAACAUGUCUUUUGGUGGGGAAUAUUCUCUGGAAACGGAGAGCAAUACCGCAUAAGCCUACGGGGGAAAGAUUUAUCGCCGAUUGAGUGGCCCAUAUUGGAUUAGCUAGUUGGUUGGGUAACGGCUGACCAAGGCGACGAUCCAUAGCUGAUCUGAGAGGAUGAUCAGCCACACUGGGACUGAGACACGGCCCAGACUCCUACGGGAGGCAGCAGUUAGGAAUAUUGGACAAUGGGGGCAACCCUGAUCCCAGCCAUGCCGCGUGAGUGUUAAGGCCUUCGGGUUGUAAAGCUCUUUUGUAUGGGAAAAUGAUGAUGGUACCAUAAGAAUAAGCACCGGCUAACUUCGUGCCAGCAGCCGC